CACAGUUUAACUGGUUGUGCGCACCCGCUCCAGGGCCUUGACGGCCGCACCCAGACAGCGCCCCGCCCCCGGGGACUCCAACCCCCCAUAGAUCCAGACAUCGGACUGGGGUCCCUUGGGGGUGCUCUUACAGGUGCCCACCCCCACCAGCCACACGGGCUGCCACCCUACGAGGGAGCGUGGGCCCUGCGAGCCCUCUUGCCCGCCCCCCACUUCCCGCAAACCCAGUGGCAGGAUGAUUGAUUUUUCGGGAAGAGCAGCCCCGAGGGUGGGGGUGGGGAGCCGGGGCGCCAGGGGAUCCUCGCUCCAUUUGCCUGUGGCUCUGAGUCAAAGCCAGGUCCCUCUGGGCGCGGUGUGAGGUGUUCCCCUGCCACUUGGCGGCCUGCGAGGAGCAGGGAGGGCCAUGCUGCCUUCCUCCGUGUCUACAAACUUUCCAAGAUUGUCACCACCUCUAAAUAGCAAAUAUUCCUGUCAUCUAUCUAGAAAGACUUUGCUGCCUCUGUGUUUUGGAAGCUUUGUCUUUUGCAGAUCAGGAAAGACAGGCUCAAGGGAUCAGACUCUUCGGAGAAUCAGAC
Molecule: long non-coding RNA, 575 nt
Filed under: Fukomys damarensis (Damara mole-rat)
Lineage: Eukaryota; Metazoa; Chordata; Mammalia; Rodentia; Bathyergidae
Description: lncRNA (ENSFDAG00000024253.1)
Source: RNAcentral